UUCGGGGGACAAAGUGACAGGUGGUGCAUGGUUGUCGUCAGCUCGUGUCGUGAGAUGUUGGGUUAAGUCCCGCAACGAGCGCAACCCUUAAGCUUAGUUGCCAUCAUUAAGUUGGGCACUCUAAGUUGACUGCCGGUGACAAACCGGAGGAAGGUGGGGAUGACGUCAAAUCAUCAUGCCCCUUAUGAUUUGGGCUACACACGUGCUACAAUGGACAAUACAAAGGGCAGCGAAACCGUGAGGUCAAGCAAAUCCCAUAAAGUUGUUCUCAGUUCGGAUUGUAGUCUGCAACUCGACUACAUGAAGCUGGAAUCGCUAGUAAUCGUAGAUCAGCAUGCUACGGUGAAUACGUUCCCGGGUCUUGUACAC
This 369-nucleotide ribosomal RNA is filed under the name uncultured bacterium. RNAcentral describes it as "bacterial SSU rRNA". It matches the Rfam family "Bacterial small subunit ribosomal RNA", at positions 1018 to 1388 of the family's 1533-position model. The record is from RNAcentral.